GCAGGAUCUCCAAGUGAAAGCCCUGGGAUAGCUCCACGUCAUAGCCCUGAGAGAAGCCGUGGGAGGUCUAGAACUGAUAGCACAGUCCGUAUCGUUAUACUAUUUGCAAUGGUUGUUUCUGUUGGACUAAUGAUCUCCGUAGGCAUUUACAUGAAAGUAGAGAAGAGAAGGCCACAACCUAUCUCAGCGAUGCAACCUAAUAUUUUUGAGACAAUGGAAUCCUUGCAAUUCGACUGUGGCGACAUUUGAGUUGCCACAAAUAACUUUUCUGAAGCAAAUAAACUUGGAGAUGAUGAAUAUGGCGCUGUUUACAGGGGUAGUCUUUCCAACGACAAAAGCAUAGCAGUGAGGAGGCUUUCAAUAAAUUAUGUGAAAGAGUAUACGGAAAUUAAGAAAGAGGUUUUGUUAAUGGCGCCCAAGCUUCAACAUCCAAAUCUAGUUGAGCUCCUAGGGUGUGCCUUGGAAGAAAAUUCUGAAAGGCUUCUUGUCUACGAGCUUUUCCCUAACGCAACUCUUGAUCGCAUCAUAUUUGACCGAAUGCAGAGCAGACAAUGGGAUUGGGAGAUCCGGUACAACAUCAUAGUGAGCAUUGCACGGGGACUCCUUCACCUUCAUGACAGUCACUUUGUUCAUGGCGAUGUCAACGCUAGUAACAUUUUGAUAGAUGCAGAAAUGAAUCCCAAAAUUUCAAAUUUUGGCAUGGCAAGAUUCUUUGCGGUUGAUCAAAUACAUGGC
Molecule: long non-coding RNA, 735 nt
Organism: Rosa rugosa (rugosa rose)
Lineage: Eukaryota; Viridiplantae; Streptophyta; Magnoliopsida; Rosales; Rosaceae
Exons: 3
Source: RefSeq, a predicted model, not a curated record